This 92-nucleotide unclassified non-coding RNA is filed under the name soil metagenome. RNAcentral's name for it is "partial internal transcribed spacer 1". The record is from RNAcentral.
CAGGGUCGGCUUCGGCCGUACACCCCCAAACCAUUGUGAAUCGCACUUAUAACUCUUAUAAUUGUAAUCUCUGAGCAACUUUUAAUAAGUAA